GGGCCCGCACAAGCGGUGGAGUAUGUGGUUUAAUUCGAUGCAACGCGAAGAACCUUACCAGGGUUUGACAUCCUGCGAAUCUCUUGGAAACUUGAGAGUGCCUUCGGGAGCGCAGUGACAGGUGGUGCAUGGCUGUCGUCAGCUCGUGUCGUGAGAUGUUGGGUUAAGUCCCGCAACGAGCGCAACCCACGUCUUUAGUUGCCAGCAUUUAGUUGGGCACUCUAGCGAGACCGCCGGUGAUAAACCGGAGGAAGGUGUGGAUGACGUCAAGUCAUCAUGCCCCUUACAUCCUGGGCUACACACGUACUACAAUGCUACGGACAAAGGGCAGCAAACUCGCGAGAGCUAGCAAAUCCCAUAAACCGUGGCUCAGUUCAGAUCGUAGGCUGCAACUCGCCUACGUGAAGGGGAAUCGCUAG
This 419-nucleotide ribosomal RNA is filed under the name uncultured bacterium. RNAcentral's name for it is "bacterial SSU rRNA". It matches the Rfam family "Bacterial small subunit ribosomal RNA", at positions 917 to 1338 of the family's 1533-position model. The record is from RNAcentral.